GACGAACGCUGGCGGCGUGCUUAACACAUGCAAGUCGAGCGGUAAGGCCCUUUCGGGGUACGACGAGCGGCGAACGGGUAGGAGUAACAACGUGGGUGGACCUCGCCCUCCAGCUCUGGGAGUAAAGACCUCGGGAAACGUAGGGUCGUAAUAACCGGAGUAUGACUCCAUGACGCAUGUUGUGGGGUGGAAAGACCUUGUGCGGCUGAGGAUGGGCCCGCGGCCUAUCAGCUUGUUGGUGGGGUGGANGGCCUACCAAGGCGACGACGGGUAGCCGGCCU
RNAcentral lists this ribosomal RNA (281 nucleotides) under uncultured bacterium. RNAcentral's name for it is "partial 16S ribosomal RNA". It matches the Rfam family "Bacterial small subunit ribosomal RNA", at positions 28 to 293 of the family's 1533-position model. The record is from RNAcentral.